This is a long non-coding RNA of Ictalurus punctatus (channel catfish), 695 nucleotides long. RefSeq lists it as uncharacterized. The record is from RefSeq and is a predicted model, not a curated record. NCBI's taxonomy places the organism in Eukaryota, Metazoa, Chordata, Actinopteri, Siluriformes, Ictaluridae. The transcript has 3 exons.
CACAGGAAGAAGGCGGAGGCCUGUGAAAUGUGUGGGGAUCACCAGCACCUUCACUCACUCCGGCUGAGGAGCUGGCACUGUCCCUUAAUCAAGGGGGCAGUUCAUCAGAUUGCUGAUGGACACGUUGUAUUAAUUGACCCUUCUGCAACAGCACGUCCUGCCACAGCUGAAAGUGAUAAUUGUCUUCCAAGUAUUGUAUUGUUUCUGUUUGCUAGACUAAACAUCUUCAGUAUUUUGCCCUGUAGGAUGAAGAUGAAGGGACCACCUCUGCUGUGACAGAGGUACAAAAUGAAGAUGAUGGGAGGCCCACAGAGUUUAUGGCUGGGGAUUCCUGUACAGAGGAGGGUCCAUCUACAUCCACACAGAAUCUUGGCAGUGUAAAAAAAAUAGUUUGCACUUGUCCUGAUUAAAAAUGUUAUAAUAUCAAUUAUAUUGAAUUAUCAUUCUGUCUUCCUGCAAAUGAGCUGUAUAAGGUCCAUCUUCAAAGGCAAAUUAGAAAAAGUGACAUGGAGAUGGACCUUCUACAACUUCAUAUGGAGGGGAAAAAAGGUGAAUAUAAAAAUGGCCAGGCUUGAAAUUUAAUUGCUGAAGCACUGGUUUAAGAAGGGCAACGUAUUUGCCUACUGAGUAUUAUUAUUCUGUCAAUUAUUGUUGAAUGGUAAAGCAAUAAAUUCAAAUGUCCUUUUCGAUUACAG